GGUUGAUCCUGCCAGUAACAUAUGCUUGUCUCAAAGAUUAAGCCAUGCAUGUCUAAGUGUGAACUCAUUUCGCAUAGCUGAACUGCGUACAGCUCAUUAAAUCAGUUAUAAUUUGUUUGAGGAUUGUUGUUUUUUGAUUUAUGAUCAAGAAAACUAUACGGAUAACCGUAGUAAUUCUAGAGCUAAUACGUGUUUGGAGGAGGGGUGUGUUGUUUCGAUGGCAUGCCCCUCUGUACUGAUUAGAUAUCGUGUAUGUUGUUUGCACUCUCUUGUCGCAGAUGACUCAUAAUCAU
RNAcentral lists this ribosomal RNA (293 nucleotides) under uncultured eukaryote. Its description in RNAcentral is "partial 18S ribosomal RNA". It matches the Rfam family "Eukaryotic small subunit ribosomal RNA", at positions 6 to 260 of the family's 1831-position model. The record is from RNAcentral.